CUUACACUUGGAUUGGCCGCGAAAAGGAUAUAUAGAAACGAGAGUGAUGUACUGUCGGGUGCGAUCAUACCAGCACUAAUGCACCGGAUCCCAUCAGAACUCCGCAGCUAAGCGUGCUUGGGCGAGAGUAGUACUAGGAUGGGUGACCUCCCGGGAAGUCCUCGUGUUGCACCCCUUUUUAUUUUUUAAUUUUUUUUUAGCCUAAAACGAGUCUAAACUUGAAAACCCCAUAACUUUUGAACCGUGAGGAACUACGUCGCCCAUAGCACCAUUUCGGAAAGCCCCAGAAACCAUAAUGGGCGGUGAAUAGGGGGCGCAAUUUUUCGGGCUCAAAUUCAGCCGUUUUGACCCUCAAACGGGCUGCGGAAAGUUAUGGCACGUAAAAAAGACCGAAAGCGGAUUUUCAAGGUGUUUUUGAUGCUUUCUUAACGCCGUUAACCUCGAUGCACUUUUUCGCUCGAAACAAAACGGCAAGAAAAUCAUGCGCGCCCCACGGCCUUACACUUGGAUUGGCCGCGAAAAGGAUAUAUAGAAACGAGAGUGGAUGUACUGACGGGUGCGAUCAUACCAGCACUAAUGCACCGGAUCCCAUCAGAACUCCGCAGUUAAGCGUGCUUGGGCGAGAGUAGUACUAGGAUGGGUGACCUCCCGGGAAGUCCUCGUGUUGCACCCCUUUUUAUUUUUUAAUUUUUUUUUAGCCUAAAACGAGUCUAAACUUGAAAACCUCAUAACUUUUGAACCGUGAGGAACUACGUCGCCCAUAGCACCAUUUCGGAGAGCCCCAGAAACCAUAAUGGGCGGUGAAUAGGGGGCGCAAUUUUUCGGGCUCAAAUUCAGCCGUUUUGACCCUCAAACGGGCUGCGGAAAGUUAUGGCACGUAAAAAAGAUCGAAAGCGGAUUCUCAAGGUGUUUUUGAUGCUUUCUUAACGCCGUUAACCUCGAUGCACUUUUUCCGCUCGAAACAAAACGGCAAGAAAAUCAUGCGCGCCCCACGGCCUUACACUUGGAUUGGCCGCGAAAAGGAUAUAUAGAAACGAGAGUGAUGUACUGACGGGUGCGAUCAUACCAGCACUAAUGCACCGGAUCCCAUCAGAACUCCGCAGUUAAGCGUGCUUGGGCGAGAGUAGUACUAGGAUGGGUGACCUCCCGGAAGUCCUCGUGUUGCACCCCUUUUUAUUUUUUAAUUUUUUUUUUGCCUAAACGAGUCUAAACUUGAAAACCUCAUAACUUUUGAACCGUGAGGAACUACGUCGCCCAUAGCACCAUUUCGGAGAGCCCCAGAAACCAUAAUGGGCGGUGAAUAGGGGGCGCAAUUUUUCGGGCUCAAAUUCAGCCGUUUUGACCCUCAAACGGGCUGCGGAAAGUUAUGGCACGUAAAAAAGAUCGAAAGCGGAUUCUCAAGGUGUUUUUGAUGCUUUCUUAACGCCGUUAACCUCGAUGCACUUUUUCGCUCGAAACAAAACGGCAAGAAAAUCAUGCGCGCCCCACGGCCUUACACUUGGAUUGGCCGCGAAAAGGAUAUAUAGAAACGAGAGUGAUGUACUGACGGGUGCGAUCAUACCAGCACUAAUGCACCGGAUCCCAUCAGAACUCCGCAGUUAAGCGUGCUUGGGCGAGAGUAGUACUAGGAUGGGUGACCUCCCGGGAAGUCCUCGUGUUGCACCCCUUUUUUUUUUUAAUUUUUUUUUAGCCUAAAACGAGUCUAAACUUGAAAACCUCAUAACUUUUGAACCGUGAGGAACUACGUCGCCCAUAGCACCAUUUCGGAGAGCCCCAGAAACCAUAAUGGGCGGUGAAUAGGGGGCGCAAUUUUUCGGGCUCAAAUUCAGCCGUUUUGACCCUCAAACGGGCUGCGGAAAGUUAUGGCACGUAAAAAAGAUCGAAAGCGGAUUCUCAAGGUGUUUUUGAUGCUUUCUUAACGCCGUUAACCUCGAUGCACUUUUUCGCUCGAAACAAAACGGCAAGAAAAUCAUGCGCGCCCCACGGCCUUACACUUGGAUUGGCCGCGAAAAGGAUAUAUAGAAACGAGAGUGAUGUACUGACGGGUGCGAUCAUACCAGCACUAAUGCACCGGAUCCCAUCAGAACUCCGCAGUUAAGCGUGCUUGGGCGAGAGUAGUACUAGGAUGGGUGACCUCCCGGGAAGUCCUCGUGUUGCACCCCUUUUUAUUUUUUAAUUUUUUUUUGCCUAAAACGAGUCUAAACUUGAAAACCUCAUAACUUUUGAACCGUGAGGAACUACGUCGCCCAUAGCACCAUUUCGGAGAGCCCCAGAAACCAUAAUGGGCGGUGAAUAGGGGGCGCAAUUUUUCGGGCUCAAAUUCAGCCGUUUUGACCCUCAAACGGGCUGCGGAAAGUUAUGGCACGUAAAAAAGAUCGAAAGCGGAUUCUCAAGGUGUUUUUGAUGCUUUCUUAACGCCGUUAACCUCGAUGCACUUUUUCGCUCGAAACAAAACGGCAAGAAAAUCAUGCGCGCCCCCACGGCCUUACACUUGGAUUGGCCGCGAAAAGGAUAUAUAGAAACGAGAGUGAUGUACUGACGGGUGCGAUCAUACCAGCACUAAUGCACCGGAUCCCAUCAGAACUCCGCAGUUAAGCGUGCUUGGGCGAGAGUAGUACUAGGAUGGGUGACCUCCCGGGAAGUCCUCGUGUUGCACCCCUUUUUAUUUUUUAAUUUUUUUUUAGCCUAAAACGAGUCUAAACUUGAAAACCUCAUAACUUUUGAACCGUGAGGAACUACGUCGCCCAUAGCACCAUUUCGGAGAGCCCCAGAAACAUAAUGGGCGGUGAAUAGGGGGCGCAAUUUUUCGGGCUCAAAUUCAGCCGUUUGACCCUCAAACGGGCUGCGGAAAGUUAUGGCACGUAAAAAGAUCGAAAGCGGAUUCUCAAGGUGUUUUUGAUGCUUUCUUAACGCCGUUAACCUCGAUGCACUUUUUCGCUCGAAACAAAACGGCAAGAAAAUCAUGCGCGCCCCACGGCCUUACACUUGGAUUGGCCGCGAAAAGGAUAUAUAGAAACGAGAGUGAUGUACUGACGGGUGCGAUCAUACCAGCACUAAUGCACCGGAUCCCAUCAGAACUCCGCAGUUAAGCGUGCUUGGGCGAGAGUAGUACUAGGAUGGGUGACCUCCUGGGAAGUCCUCGUGUUGCACCCCUUUUUAUUUUUUAAUUUUUUUUAUGCCUAAAACGAGUCUAAACUUGAAAACCUCAUAACUUUUGAACCGUGAGGAACUACGUCGCCCAUAGCACCAUUUCGGAGAGCCCCAGAAACCAUAAUGGGCGGUGAAUAGGGGCGCAAUUUUUCGGGCUCAAAUUCAGCCGUUUUGACCCUCAAACGGGCUGCGGAAAGUUAUGGCACGUAAAAAAGAUCGAAAGCGGAUUCUCAAGGUGUUUUUGAUGCUUUCUUAACGCCGUUAACCUCGAUGCACUUUUUCGCUCGAAACAAAACGGCAAGAAAAUCAUGCGCGCCCCACGGCCUUACACUUGGAUUGGCCGCGAAAAGGAUAUAUAGAAACGAGAGUGAUGUACUGACGGGUGCGAUCAUACCAGCACUAAUGCACCGGAUCCCAUCAGAACUCCGCAGUUAAGCGUGCUUGGGCGAGAGUAGUACUAGGAUGGGUGACCUCCCGGGAAGUCCUCGUGUUGCACCCCUUUUUAUUUUUUAAUUUUUUUUUAGCCUAAAACGAGUCUAAACUUGAAAACCUCAUAACUUUUGAACGAACCGUGAGGAACUACGUCGCCCAUAGCACCAUUUCGGAGAGCCCCAAAACCAUAAUGGGCGGUGAAUAGGGGGCGCAAUUUUUCGGGCUCAAAUUCAGCCGUUUUGACCCUCAAACGGGCUGCGGAAAGUUAUGGCACGUAAAAAAGAUCGAAAGCGGAUUCUCAAGGUGUUUUUGAUGCUUUCUUAACGCCGUUAACCUCGAUGCACUUUUUCGCUCGAAACAAAACGGCAAGAAAAUCAUGCGCGCCCCACGGCCUUACACUUGGAUUGGCCGCGAAAAGGAUAUAUAGAAACGAGAGUGAUGUACUGACGGGUGCGAUCAUACCAGCACUAAUGCACCGGAUCCCAUCAGAACUCCGCAGUUAAGCGUGCUUGGGCGAGAGUAGUACUAGGAUGGGUGACCUCCCGGGAAGUCCUCGUGUUGCACCCCUUUUUAUUUUUUUAUUUUUUUUUUGCCUAAAACGAGUCUAAACUUGAAAACCUCAUAACUUUUGAACCGUGAGGAACUACGUCGCCCAUAGCACCAUUUCGGAGAGCCCCAGAAACCAUAAUGGGCGGUGAAUAGGGGGCGCAAUUUUUCGGGCUCAAAUUCAGCCGUUUUGACCCUCAAACGGGCUGCGGAAAGUUAUGGCACGUAAAAAAGAUCGAAAGCGGAUUCUCAAGGUGUUUUUGAUGCUUUCUUAACGCCGUUAACCUCGAUGCACUUUUUCGCUCGAAACAAAACGGCAAGAAAAUCAUGCGCGCCCCACGGCCUUACACUUGGAUUGGCCGCGAAAAGGAUAUAUAGAAACGAGAGUGAUGUACUGACGGGUGCGAUCAUACCAGCACUAAUGCACCGGAUCCCAUCAGAACUCCGCAGUUAAGCGUGCUUGGGCGAGAGUAGUACUAGGAUGGGUGACCUCCCGGGAAGUCCUCGUGUUGCACCCCUUUUUAUUUUUUAAUUUUUUUUUAGCCUAAAACGAGUCUAAACUUGAAAACCUCAUAACUUUUGAACCGUGAGGAACUACGUCGCCCAUAGCACCAUUUCGGAGAGCCCCAGAAACCAUAAUGGGCGGUGAAUAGGGGGCGCAAUUUUUCGGGCUCAAAUUCAGCCGUUUUGACCCUCAAACGGGCUGCGGAAAGUUAUGGCACGUAAAAAAGAUCGAAAGCGGAUUCUCAAGGUGUUUUUGAUGCUUUCUUAACGCCGUUAACCUCGAUGCACUUUUUCGCUCGAAACAAAACGGCAAGAAAAUCAUGCGCGCCCCACGGCCUUACACUUGGAUUGGCCGCGAAAAGGAUAUAUAGAAACGAGAGUGAUGUACUGUCGUGUGCCAUCAUACCAGCACUAAUGCACCGGAUCCCAUCAGAACUCCGCAGUUAAGCGUGCUUGGGCGAGAGUAGUACUAGGAUGGGUGACCUCCCGGGAAGUCCUCGUGUUGCACCCCUUUUUAUUUUUUAUUUUUUUUUAGCCUGAAACGAGUCUAAACUUGAAAACCUCAUAACUUUUGAACCGUGAGGAACUACGUCUCCCAUAGCACCAUUUCGGAGAGCCCCAGAAACCAUAAUGGGCGGUCAAUAGGGGGCGCAAUUUUUCGGGCUCAAAUUCAGCCGUUUUGACCCUCAAACGGGCUGCGGAAAGUUAUGGCACGUAAAAAAGAUCGAAAGCGGAUUCUCAAGGUGUUUUUGAUGCUUUCUUAACGCCGUUAACCUCGAUGCACUUUUUCGCUCGAAACAAAACGGCAAGAAAAUCAUGCGCGCCCCACGGCCUUACACUUGGAUUGGCCGCGAAAAGGAUAUAUAGAAACGAGAGUGAUGUACUGACGGGUGCGAUCAUACCAGCACUAAUGCACCGGAUCCCAUCAGAACUCCGCAGUUAAGCGUGCUUGGGCGAGAGUAGUAGUACUAGGAUGGGUGACCUCCCGGGAAGUCCUCGUGUUGCACCCCUUUUUAUUUUUUAAUUUUUUUUUAGCCUAAAACGAGUCUAAACUUGAAAACCUCAUAACUUUUGAACCGUGAGGAACUACGUCGCCCAUAGCACCAUUUCGGAGAGCCCCAGAAACCAUAAUGGGCGGUGAAUAGGGGGCGCAAUUUUUCGGGCUCAAAUUCAGCCGUUUUGACCCUCAAACGGGCUGCGGAAAGUUAUGGCACGUAAAAAGAUCGAAAGCGGAUUCUCAAGGUGUUUUUGAUGCUUUCUUAACGCCGUUAACCUCGAUGCACUUUUUCGCUCGAAACAAAACGGCAAGAAAAUCAUGCGCGCCCCACGGCCUUACACUUGGAUUGGCCGCGAAAAGGAUAUAUAGAAACGAGAGUGAUGUACUGUCGGGUGCGAUCAUACCAGCACUAAUGCACCGGAUCCCAUCAGAACUCCGCAGUUAAGCGUGCUUGGGCGAGAGUAGUACUAGGAUGGGUGACCUCCCGGAAAGUCCUCGUGUUGCACCCCUUUUUUAUUUUUUAAUUUUUUUUUAGCCUAAAACGAGUCUAAACUUGAAAACCUCAUAACUUUUGAACCGUGAGGAACUACGUCGCCCAUAGCACCAUUUCGGAAAGCCCCAGAAACCAUAAUGGGCGGUGAAUAGGGGGCGCAAUUUUUCGGGCUCAAAUUCAGUCGUUUUGACCCUCAGACGGGCUGCGGAAAGUUAUGGCACGUAAAAAAGAUCGAAAGCGGAUUCUCAAGGUGUUUUUGAUGCUUUCUUAACGCCGUUAACCUCGAUGCACUUUUUCGCUCGAAACAAAACGGCAAGAAAAUCAUGCGCGCCCCACGGCCUUACACUUGGAUUGGCCGCGAAAAGGAUAUAUAGAAACGAGAGUGAUGUACUGACGGGUGCGAUCAUACCAGCACUAAUGCACCGGAUCCCAUCAGAACUCCGCAGUUAAGCGUGCUUGGGCGAGAGUAGUACUAGGAUGGGUGACCUCCCGGGAAGUCCUCGUGUUGCACCCCUUUUUAUUUUUAAUUUUUUUUAGCCUAAAACGAGUCUAAACUUGAAAACCUCAUAACUUUUGAACCGUGAGGAACUACGUCGCCCAUAGCACCAUUUCGGAGAGCCCCAGAAACCAUAAUGGGCGGUGAAUAGGGGGCGCAAUUUUUCGGGCGAUAUAUAGAAACGAGAGUGAUGUACUGACGGGUGCGAUCAUACCAGCACUAAUGCACCGGAUCCCAUCAGAACUCCGCAGUUAAGCGUGCUUGGGCGAGAGUAGUACUAGGAUGGGUGACCUCCCGGGAAGUCCUCGUGUUGCACCCCUUUUUAUUUUUUAAUUUUUUUUUAGCCUAAAACGAGUCUAAACUUGAAAACCUCAUAACUUUUGAACCGUGAGGAACUACGUCGCCCAUAGCACCAUUUCGGAGAGCCCCAGAAACCAUAAUGGGCGGUGAAUAGGGGCGCAAUUUUUCGGGCUCAAAUUCAGCCGUUUUGACCCUCAAACGGGCUGCGGAAAGUUAUGGCACGUAAAAAAGAUCGAAAGCGGAUUCUCAAGGUGUUUUUGAUGCUUUCUUAACGCCGUUAACCUCGAUGCACUUUUUCGCUCGAAACAAAACGGCAAGAAAAUCAUGCGCGCCCCACGGCCUUACACUUGGAUUGGCCGCGAAAAGGAUAUAUAGAAACGAGAGUGAUGUACUGACGGGUGCGAUCAUACCAGCACUAAUGCACCGGAUCCCAUCAGAACUCCGCAGUUAAGCGUGCUUGGGCGAGAGUAGUACUAGGAUGGGUGACCUCCCGGGAAGUCCUCGUGUUGCACCCCUUUUUAUUUUUUAAUUUUUUUUUAGCCUAAAACGAGUCUAAACUUGAAAACCUCAUAACUUUUGAACCGUGAGGAACUACGUCGCCCAUAGCACCAUUUCGGAGAGCCCCAGAAACCAUAAUGGGCGGUGAAUAGGGGGCGCAAUUUUUCGGGCUCAAAUUCAGCCGUUUUGACCCUCAAACGGGCUGCGGAAAGUUAUGGCACGUAAAAAAGAUCGAAAGCGGAUUCUCAAGGUGUUUUUGAUGCUUUCUUAACGCCGUUAACCUCGAUGCACUUUUUCGCUCGAAACAAAACGGCAAGAAAAUCAUGCGCGCCCCACGGCCUUACACUUGGAUUGGCCGCGAAAAGGAUAUAUAGAAACGAGAGUGAUGUACUGACGGGUGCGAUCAUACCAGCACUAAUGCACCGGAUCCCAUCAGAACUCCGCAGUUAAGCGUGCUUGGGCGAGAGUAGUACUAGGAUGGGUGACCUCCCGGGAAGUCCUCGUGUUGCACCCCUUUUUAUUUUUUAAUUUUUUUUUAGCCUAAAACGAGUCUAAACUUGAAAACCUCAUAACUUUUGAACCGUGAGGAACUACGUCGCCCAUAGCACCAUUUCGGAGAGCCCCAGAAACCAUAAUGGGCGGUGAAUAGGGGGCGCAAUUUUUCGGGCUCAAAUUCAGCCGUUUUGACCCUCAAACGGGCUGCGGAAAGUUAUGGCACGUAAAAAAGAUCGAAAGCGGAUUCUCAAGGUGUUUUUGAUGCUUUCUUAACGCCGUUAACCUCGAUGCACUUUUUCGCUCGAAACAAAACGGCAAGAAAAUCAUGCGCGCCCCACGGCCUUACACUUGGAUUGGCCGCGAAAAGGAUAUAUAGAAACGAGAGUGAUGUACUGACGGGUGCGAUCAUACCAGCACUAAUGCACCGGAUCCCAUCAGAACUCCGCAGUUAAGCGUGCUUGGGCGAGAGUAGUACUAGGAUGGGUGACCUCCCGGGAAGUCCUCGUGUUGCACCCCUUUUUAUUUUUUAAUUUUUUUUUAGCCUAAAACGAGUCUAAACUUGAAAACCUCAUAACUUUUGAACCGUGAGGAACUACGUCGCCCAUAGCACCAUUUCGGAGAGCCCCAGAAACCAUAAUGGGCGGUGAAUAGGGGGCGCAAUUUUUCGGGCUCAAAUUCAGCCGUUUUGACCCUCAAACGGGCUGCGGAAAGUUAUGGCACGUAAAAAAGAUCGAAAGCGGAUUCUCAAGGUGUUUUUGAUGCUUUCUUAACGCCGUUAACCUCGAUGCACUUUUUCGCUCGAAACAAAACGGCAAGAAAAUCAUGCGCGCCCCACGGCCUUACACUUGGAUUGGCCGCGAAAAGGAUAUAUAGAAACGAGAGUGAUGUACUGACGGGUGCGAUCAUACCAGCACUAAUGCACCGGAUCCCAUCAGAACUCCGCAGUUAAGCGUGCUUGGGCGAGAGUAGUACUAGGAUGGGUGACCUCCCGGGAAGUCCUCGUGUUGCACCCCUUUUUAUUUUUAAUUUUUUUUUAGCCUAAAACGAGUCUAAACUUGAAAACCUCAUAACUUUUGAACCGUGAGGAACUACGUCGCCCAUAGCACCAUUUCGGAGAGCCCCAGAAACCAUAAUGGGCGGUGAAUAGGGGGCGCAAUUUUUCGGGCUCAAAUUCAGCCGUUUUGACCCUCAAACGGGCUGCGGAAAGUUAUGGCACGUAAAAAAGAUCGAAAGCGGAUUCUCAAGGUGUUUUUGAUGCUUUCUUAACGCCGUUAACCUCGAUGCACUUUUUCGCUCGAAACAAAACGGCAAGAAAAUCAUGCGCGCCCCACGGCCUUACACUUGGAUUGGCCGCGAAAAGGAUAUAUAGAAACGAGAGUGAUGUACUGACGGGUGCGAUCAUACCAGCACUAAUGCACCGGAUCCCAUCAGAACUCCGCAGUUAAGCGUGCUUGGGCGAGAGUAGUACUAGGAUGGGUGACCUCCCGGGAAGUCCUCGUGUUGCACCCCUUUUUAUUUUUUAAUUUUUUUUUAGCCUAAAACGAGUCUAAACUUGAAAACCUCAUAACUUUUGAACCGUGAGGAACUACGUCGCCCAUAGCACCAUUUCGGAGAGCCCCAGAAACCAUAAUGGGCGGUGAAUAGGGGGCGCAAUUUUUCGGGCUCAAAUUCAGCCGUUUUGACCCUCAAACGGGCUGCGGAAAGUUAUGGCACGUAAAAAAGAUCGAAAGCGGAUUCUCAAGGUGUUUUUGAUGCUUUCUUAACGCCGUUAACCUCGAUGCACUUUUUCGCUCGAAACAAAACGGCAAGAAAAUCAUGCGCGCCCCACGGCCUUACACUUGGAUUGGCCGCGAAAAGGAUAUAUAGAAACGAGAGUGAUGUACUGACGGGUGCGAUCAUACCAGCACUAAUGCACCGGAUCCCAUCAGAACUCCGCAGUUAAGCGUGCUUGGGCGAGAGUAGUACUAGGAUGGGUGACCUCCCGGGAAGUCCUCGUGUUGCACCCCUUUUUAUUUUUUAAUUUUUUUUAGCCUAAAACGAGUCUAAACUUGAAAACCUCAUAACUUUUGAACCGUGAGGAACUACGUCGCCCAUAGCACCAUUUCGGAGAGCCCCAGAAACCAUAAUGGGCGGUGAAUAGGGGGCGCAAUUUUUCGGGCUCAAAUUCAGCCGUUUUGACCCUCAAACGGGCUGCGGAAAGUUAUGGCACGUAAAAAAGAUCGAAAGCGGAUUCUCAAGGUGUUUUUGAUGCUUUCUUAACGCCGUUAACCUCGAUGCACUUUUUCGCUCGAAACAAAACGGCAAGAAAAUCAUGCGCGCCCCACGGCCUUACACUUGGAUUGGCCGCGAAAAGGAUAUAUAGAAACGAGAGUGAUGUACUGACGGGUGCGAUCAUACCAGCACUAAUGCACCGGAUCCCAUCAGAACUCCGCAGUUAAGGGUGCUUGGGCGAGAGUAGUACUAGGAUGGGUGACCUCCCGGGAAGUCCUCGUGUUGCACCCCUUUUUAUUUUUUUUAUUUUUUUUUAGCCUAAAACGAGUCUAAACUUGAAAACCUCAUAACUUUUGAACCGUGAGGAACUACGUCGCCCAUAGCACCAUUUCGGAAAGCCCCAGAAACCAUAAUGGGCGGUGAAUAGGGGGCGCAAUUUUUCGGGCUCAAAUUCAGCCGUUUUGACCCUCAAACGGGCUGCGGAAAGUUAUGGCACGUAAAAAAGAUCGAAAGCGGAUUCUCAAGGUGUUUUUGAUGCUUUCUUAACGCCGUUAACCUCGAUGCACUUUUUCGCUCGAAACAAAACGGCAAGAAAAUCAUGCGCGCCCCACGGCCUUACACUUGGAUUGGCCGCGAAAAGGAUAUAUAGAAACGAGAGUGAUGUACUGACGGGUGCGAUCAUACCAGCACUAAUGCACCGGAUCCCAUCAGAACUCCGCAGUUAAGCGUGCUUGGGCGAGAGUAGUACUAGGAUGGGUGACCUCCCGGGAAGUCCUCGUGUUGCACCCCUUUUUAUUUUUUAAUUUUUUUUUAGCCUAAAACGAGUCUAAACUUGAAAACCUCAUAACUUUUGAACCGUGAGGAACUACGUCGCCCAUAGCACCAUUUCGGAAAGCCCCAGAAACCAUAAUGGGCGGUGAAUAGGGGGCGCAAUUUUUCGGGCUCAAAUUCAGCCGUUUUGACCCUCAAACGGGCUGCGGAAAGUUAUGGCACGUAAAAAAGAUCGAAAGCGGAUUCUCAAGGUGUUUUUGAUGCUUUCUUAACGCCGUUAACCUCGAUGCACUUUUUCGCUCGAAACAAAACGGCAAGAAAAUCAUGCGCGCCCCACGGCCUUACACUUGGAUUGGCCGCGAAAAGGAUAUAUAGAAACGAGAGUGAUGUACUGACGGGUGCGAUCAUACCAGCACUAAUGCACCGGAUCCCAUCAGAACUCCGCAGUUAAGCGUGCUUGGGCGAGAGUAGUACUAGGAUGGGUGACCUCCCGGGAAGUCCUCGUGUUGCACCCCUUUUUAUUUUUUAAUUUUUUUUUAGCCUAAAACGAGUCUAAACUUGAAAACCCAUAACUUUUGAACCGUGAGGAACUACGUCGCCCAUAGCACCAUUUCGGAAGCCCCAGAAACCAUAAUGGGCGGUGAAUAGGGGGCGCAAUUUUUCGGGCUCAAAUUCAGCCGUUUUGACCCUCAAACGGGCUGCGGAAAGUUAUGGCACGUAAAAAAGAUCGAAAGCGGAUUCUCAAGGUGUUUUUGAUGCUUUCUUAACGCCGUUAACCUCGAUGCACUUUUUCGCUCGAAACAAAACGGCAAGAAAAUCAUGCGCGCCCCACGGCCUUACACUUGGAUUGGCCGCGAAAAGGAUAUAUAGAAACGAGAGUGAUGUACUGACGGGUGCGAUCAUACCAGCACUAAUGCACCGGAUCCCAUCAGAACUCCGCAGUUAAGCGUGCUUGGGCGAGAGUAGUACUAGGAUGGGUGACCUCCCGGGAAGUCCUCGUGUUGCACCCCUUUUUAUUUUUUAAUUUUUUUUUAGCCUAAAACGAGUCUAAACUUGAAAACCUCAUAACUUUUGAACCGUGAGGAACUACGUCGCCCAUAGCACCAUUUCGGAAAGCCCCAGAAACCAUAAUGGGCGGUGAAUAGGGGGCGCAAUUUUUCGGGCUCAAAUUCAGCCGUUUUGACCCUCAAACGGGCUGCGGAAAGUUAUGGCACGUAAAAAAGAUCGAAAGCGGAUUCUCAAGGUGUUUUUGAUGCUUUCUUAACGCCGUUAACCUCGAUGCACUUUUUCGCUCGAAACAAAACGGCAAGAAAAUCAUGCGCGCCCCACGGCCUUACACUUGGAUUGGCCGCGAAAAGGAUAUAUAGAAACGAGAGUGAUGUACUGACGGGUGCGAUCAUACCAGCACUAAUGCACCGGAUCCCAUCAGAACUCCGCAGUUAAGCGUGCUUGGGCGAGAGUAGUACUAGGAUGGGUGACCUCCCGGGAAGUCCUCGUGUUGCACCCCUUUUUAUUUUUUAAUUUUUUUUUAGCCUAAAACGAGUCUAAACUUGAAAACCCCAUAACUUUUGAACCGUGAGGAACUACGUCGCCCAUAGCACCAUUUCGGAAAGCCCCAGAAACCAUAAUGGGCGGUGAAUAGGGGGCGCAAUUUUUCGGGCUCAAAUUCAGCCGUUUUGACCCUCAAACGGGCUGCGGAAAGUUAUGGCACGUAAAAAAGAUCGAAAGCGGAUUCUCAAGGUGUUUUUGAUGCUUUCUUAACGCCGUUAACCUCGAUGCACUUUUUCGCUCGAAACAAAACGGCAAGAAAAUCAUGCGCGCCCCACGGCCUUACACUUGGAUUGGCCGCGAAAAGGAUAUAUAGAAACGAGAGUGAUGUACUGACGGGUGCGAUCAUACCAGCACUAAUGCACCGGAUCCCAUCAGAACUCCGCAGUUAAGCGUGCUUGGGCGAGAGUAGUACUAGGAUGGGUGACCUCCCGGGAAGUCCUCGUGUUGCACCCCUUUUUAUUUUUUAAUUUUUUUUUAGCCUAAAACGAGUCUAAACUUGAAAACCUCAUAACUUUUGAACCGUGAGGAACUACGUCGCCCAUAGCACCAUUUCGGAGAAGCCCCAGAAACCAUAAUGGGCGGUGAAUAGGGGGCGCAAUUUUUCGGGCUCAAAUUCAGCCGUUUUGACCCUCAAACGGGCUGCGGAAAGUUAUGGCACGUAAAAAAGAUCGAAAGCGGAUUCUCAAGGUGUUUUUGAUGCUUUCUUAACGCCGUUAACCUCGAUGCACUUUUUCGCUCGAAACAAAACGGCAAGAAAAUCAUGCGCGCCCCACGGCCUUACACUUGGAUUGGCCGCGAAAAGGAUAUAUAGAAACGAGAGUGAUGUACUGUCGGGUGCGAUCAUACCAGCACUAAUGCACCGGAUCCCAUCAGAACUCCGCAGUUAAGCGUGCUUGGGCGAGAGUAGUACUAGGAUGGGUGACCUCCCGGGAAGUCCUCGUGUUGCACCCCUUUUUAUUUUUUAAUUUUUUUUAGCCUAAAACGAGUCUAAACUUGAAAACCUCAUAACUUUUGAACCGUGAGGAACUACGUCGCCCAUAGCACCAUUUCGGAAAGCCCCAGAAACCAUAAUGGGCGGUGAAUAGGGGGCGCAAUUUUUCGGGCUCAAAUUCAGCCGUUUUGACCCUCAAACGGGCUGCGGAAAGUUAUGGCACGUAAAAAAGAUCGAAAGCGGAUUCUCAAGGUGUUUUUGAUGCUUUCUUAACGCCGUUAACCUCGAUGCACUUUUUCGCUCGAAACAAAACGGCAAGAAAAUCAUGCGCGCCCCACGGCCUUACACUUGGAUUGGCCGCGAAAAGGAUAUAUAGAAACGAGAGUGAUGUACUGACGGGUGCGAUCAUACCAGCACUAAUGCACCGGAUCCCAUCAGAACUCCGCAGUUAAGCGUGCUUGGGCGAGAGUAGUACUAGGAUGGGUGACCUCCCGGGAAGUCCUCGUGUUGCACCCCUUUUUAUUUUUUAAUUUUUUUUUAGCCUAAAACGAGUCUAAACUUGAAAACCCAUAACUUUUGAACCGUGAGGAACUACGUCGCCCAUAGCACCAUUUCGGAAAGCCCCAGAAACCAUAAUGGGCGGUGAAUAGGGGGCGCAAUUUUUCGGGCUCAAAUUCAGCCGUUUUGACCCUCAAACGGGCUGCGGAAAGUUAUGGCACGUAAAAAAGAUCGAAAGCGGAUUCUCAAGGUGUUUUUGAUGCUUUCUUAACGCCGUUAACCUCGAUGCACUUUUUCGCUCGAAACAAAACGGCAAGAAAAUCAUGCGCGCCCCACGGCCUUACACUUGGAUUGGCCGCGAAAAGGAUAUAUAGAAACGAGAGUGAUGUACUGUCGGGUGCGAUCAUACCAGCACUAAUGCACCGGAUCCCAUCAGAACUCCGCAGUUAAGCGUGCUUGGGCGAGAGUAGUACUAGGAUGGGUGACCUCCCGGGAAGUCCUCGUGUUGCACCCCUUUUUAUUUUUUAAUUUUUUUUAGCCUAAAACGAGUCUAAACUUGAAAACCCCAUAACUUUUGAACCGUGAGGAACUACGUCGCCCAUAGCACCAUUUCGGAAAGCCCCAGAAACCAUAAUGGGCGGUGAAUAGGGGGCGCAAUUUUUCGGGCUCAAAUUCAGCCGUUUUGACCCUCAAACGGGCUGCGGAAAGUUAUGGCACGUAAAAAAGAUCGAAAGCGGAUUCUCAAGGUGUUUUUGAUGCUUUCUUAACGCCGUUAACCUCGAUGCACUUUUUCGCUCGAAACAAAACGGCAAGAAAAUCAUGCGCGCCCCACGGCCUUACACUUGGAUUGGCCGCGAAAAGGAUAUAUAGAAACGAGAGUGAUGUACUGUCGGGUGCGAUCAUACCAGCACUAAUGCACCGGAUCCCAUCAGAACUCCGCAGUUAAGCGUGCUUGGGCGAGAGUAGUACUAGGAUGGGUGACCUCCCGGGAAGUCCUCGUGUUGCACCCCUUUUUAUUUUUUAAUUUUUUUUUAGCCUAAAACGAGUCUAAACUUGAAAACCUCAUAACUUUUGAACCGUGAGGAACUACGUCGCCCAUAGCACCAUUUCGGAAAGCCCCAGAAACCAUAAUGGGCGGUGAAUAGGGGGCGCAAUUUUUCGGGCUCAAAUUCAGCCGUUUUGACCCUCAAACGGGCUGCGGAAAGUUAUGGCACGUAAAAAAGAUCGAAAGCGGAUUCUCAAGGUGUUUUUGAUGCUUUCUUAACGCCGUUAACCUCGAUGCACUUUUUCGCUCGAAACAAAACGGCAAGAAAAUCAUGCGCGCCCCACGGCCUUACACUUGGAUUGGCCGCGAAAAGGAUAUAUAGAAACGAGAGUGAUGUACUGUCGGGUGCGAUCAUACCAGCACUAAUGCACCGGAUCCCAUCAGAACUCCGCAGUUAAGCGUGCUUGGGCGAGAGUAGUACUAGGAUGGGUGACCUCCCGGGAAGUCCUCGUGUUGCACCCCUUUUUAUUUUUUAAUUUUUUUUUAGCCUAAAACGAGUCUAAACUUGAAAACCUCAUAACUUUUGAACCGUGAGGAACUACGUCGCCCAUAGCACCAUUUCGGAAAGCCCCAGAAACCAUAAUGGGCGGUGAAUAGGGGGCGCAAUUUUUCGGGCUCAAAUUCAGCCGUUUUGACCCUCAAACGGGCUGCGGAAAGUUAUGGCACGUAAAAAAGAUCGAAAGCGGAUUCUCAAGGUGUUUUUGAUGCUUUCUUAACGCCGUUAACCUCGAUGCACUUUUUCGCUCGAAACAAAACGGCAAGAAAAUCAUGCGCGCCCCACGGCCUUACACUUGGAUUGGCCGCGAAAAGGAUAUAUAGAAACGAGAGUGAUGUACUGACGGGUGCGAUCAUACCAGCACUAAUGCACCGGAUCCCAUCAGAACUCCGCAGUUAAGCGUGCUUGGGCGAGAGUAGUACUAGGAUGGGUGACCUCCCGGGAAGUCCUCGUGUUGCACCCCUUUUUAUUUUUUAAUUUUUUUUUAGCCUAAAACGAGUCUAAACUUGAAAACCUCAUAACUUUUGAACCGUGAGGAACUACGUCGCCCAUAGCACCAUUUCGGAAAGCCCCAGAAACCAUAAUGGGCGGUGAAUAGGGGGCGCAAUUUUUCGGGCUCAAAUUCAGCCGUUUUGACCCUCAAACGGGCUGCGGAAAGUUAUGGCACGUAAAAAAGAUCGAAAGCGGAUUCUCAAGGUGUUUUUGAUGCUUUCUUAACGCCGUUAACCUCGAUGCACUUUUUCGCUCGAAACAAAACGGCAAGAAAAUCAUGCGCGCCCCACGGCCUUACACUUGGAUUGGCCGCGAAAAGGAUAUAUAGAAACGAGAGUGAUGUACUGACGGGUGCGAUCAUACCAGCACUAAUGCACCGGAUCCCAUCAGAACUCCGCAGUUAAGCGUGCUUGGGCGAGAGUAGUACUAGGAUGGGUGACCUCCCGGGAAGUCCUCGUGUUGCACCCCUUUUUAUUUUUUAAUUUUUUUUUAGCCUAAAACGAGUCUAAACUUGAAAACCUCAUAACUUUUGAACCGUGAGGAACUACGUCGCCCAUAGCACCAUUUCGGAAAGCCCCAGAAACCAUAAUGGGCGGUGAAUAGGGGGCGCAAUUUUUCGGGCUCAAAUUCAGCCGUUUUGACCCUCAAACGGGCUGCGGAAAGUUAUGGCACGUAAAAAAGAUCGAAAGCGGAUUCUCAAGGUGUUUUUGAUGCUUUCUUAACGCCGUUAACCUCGAUGCACUUUUUCGCUCGAAACAAAACGGCAAGAAAAUCAUGCGCGCCCCACGGCCUUACACUUGGAUUGGCCGCGAAAAGGAUAUAUAGAAACGAGAGUGAUGUACUGACGGGUGCGAUCAUACCAGCACUAAUGCACCGGAUCCCAUCAGAACUCCGCAGUUAAGCGUGCUUGGGCGAGAGUAGUACUAGGAUGGGUGACCUCCCGGGAAGUCCUCGUGUUGCACCCCUUUUUAUUUUUUAAUUUUUUUUUAGCCUAAAACGAGUCUAAACUUGAAAACCUCAUAACUUUUGAACCGUGAGGAACUACGUCGCCCAUAGCACCAUUUCGGAAGCCCCAGAAACCAUAAUGGGCGGUGAAUAGGGGGCGCAAUUUUUCGGGCUCAAAUUCAGCCGUUUUGACCCUCAAACGGGCUGCGGAAAGUUAUGGCACGUAAAAAAGAUCGAAAGCGGAUUCUCAAGGUGUUUUUGAUGCUUUCUUAACGCCGUUAACCUCGAUGCACUUUUUCGCUCGAAACAAAACGGCAAGAAAAUCAUGCGCGCCCCACGGCCUUACACUUGGAUUGGCCGCGAAAAGGAUAUAUAGAAACGAGAGUGAUGUACUGACGGGUGCGAUCAUACCAGCACUAAUGCACCGGAUCCCAUCAGAACUCCGCAGUUAAGCGUGCUUGGGCGAGAGUAGUACUAGGAUGGGUGACCUCCCGGGAAGUCCUCGUGUUGCACCCCUUUUUAUUUUUUAAUUUUUUUUUAGCCUAAAACGAGUCUAAACUUGAAAACCUCAUAACUUUUGAACCGUGAGGAACUACGUCGCCCAUAGCACCAUUUCGGAAAGCCCCAGAAACCAUAAUGGGCGGUGAAUAGGGGGCGCAAUUUUUCGGGCUCAAAUUCAGCCGUUUUGACCCUCAAACGGGCUGCGGAAAGUUAUGGCACGUAAAAAAGAUCGAAAGCGGAUUCUCAAGGUGUUUUUGAUGCUUUCUUAACGCCGUUAACCUCGAUGCACUUUUUCGCUCGAAACAAAACGGCAAGAAAAUCAUGCGCGCCCCACGGCCUUACACUUGGAUUGGCCGCGAAAAGGAUAUAUAGAAACGAGAGUGAUGUACUGACGGGUGCGAUCAUACCAGCACUAAUGCACCGGAUCCCAUCAGAACUCCGCAGUUAAGCGUGCUUGGGCGAGAGUAGUACUAGGAUGGGUGACCUCCCGGGAAGUCCUCGUGUUGCACCCCUUUUUAUUUUUUAAUUUUUUUUUAGCCUAAAACGAGUCUAAACUUGAAAACCUCAUAACUUUUGAACCGUGAGGAACUACGUCGCCCAUAGCACCAUUUCGGAGCCCCAGAAACCAUAAUGGGCGGUGAAUAGGGGGCGCAAUUUUUCGGGCUCAAAUUCAGCCGUUUUGACCCUCAAACGGGCUGCGGAAAGUUAUGGCACGUAAAAAAGAUCGAAAGCGGAUUCUCAAGGUGUUUUUGAUGCUUUCUUAACGCCGUUAACCUCGAUGCACUUUUUCGCUCGAAACAAAACGGCAAGAAAAUCAUGCGCGCCCCACGGCCUUACACUUGGAUUGGCCGCGAAAAGGAUAUAUAGAAACGAGAGUGAUGUACUGACGGGUGCGAUCAUACCAGCACUAAUGCACCGGAUCCCAUCAGAACUCCGCAGUUAAGCGUGCUUGGGCGAGAGUAGUACUAGGAUGGGUGACCUCCCGGGAAGUCCUCGUGUUGCACCCCUUUUUAUUUUUUAAUUUUUUUUUAGCCUAAAACGAGUCUAAACUUGAAAACCUCAUAACUUUUGAACCGUGAGGAACUACGUCGCCCAUAGCACCAUUUCGGAAAGCCCCAGAAACCAUAAUGGGCGGUGAAUAGGGGGCGCAAUUUUUCGGGCUCAAAUUCAGCCGUUUUGACCCUCAAACGGGCUGCGGAAAGUUAUGGCACGUAAAAAAGAUCGAAAGCGGAUUCUCAAGGUGUUUUUGAUGCUUUCUUAACGCCGUUAACCUCGAUGCACUUUUUCGCUCGAAACAAAACGGCAAGAAAAUCAUGCGCGCCCCACGGCCUUACACUUGGAUUGGCCGCGAAAAGGAUAUAUAGAAACGAGAGUGAUGUACUGACGGGUGCGAUCAUACCAGCACUAAUGCACCGGAUCCCAUCAGAACUCCGCAGUUAAGCGUGCUUGGGCGAGAGUAGUACUAGGAUGGGUGACCUCCCGGGAAGUCCUCGUGUUGCACCCCUUUUUAUUUUUUAAUUUUUUUUUAGCCUAAAACGAGUCUAAACUUGAAAACCUCAUAACUUUUGAACCGUGAGGAACUACGUCGCCCAUAGCACCAUUUCGGAAAGCCCCAGAAACCAUAAUGGGCGGUGAAUAGGGGGCGCAAUUUUUCGGGCUCAAAUUCAGCCGUUUUGACCCUCAAACGGGCUGCGGAAAGUUAUGGCACGUAAAAAAGAUCGAAAGCGGAUUCUCAAGGUGUUUUUGAUGCUUUCUUAACGCCGUUAACCUCGAUGCACUUUUUCGCUCGAAACAAAACGGCAAGAAAAUCAUGCGCGCCCCACGGCCUUACACUUGGAUUGGCCGCGAAAAGGAUAUAUAGAAACGAGAGUGAUGUACUGACGGGUGCGAUCAUACCAGCACUAAUGCACCGGAUCCCAUCAGAACUCCGCAGUUAAGCGUGCUUGGGCGAGAGUAGUACUAGGAUGGGUGACCUCCCGGGAAGUCCUCGUGUUGCACCCCUUUUUAUUUUUUAAUUUUUUUUAGCCUAAAACGAGUCUAAACUUGAAAACCUCAUAACUUUUGAACCGUGAGGAACUACGUCGCCCAUAGCACCAUUUCGGAAAGCCCCAGAAACCAUAAUGGGCGGUGAAUAGGGGGCGCAAUUUUUCGGGCUCAAAUUCAGCCGUUUUGACCCUCAAACGGGCUGCGGAAAGUUAUGGCACGUAAAAAAGAUCGAAAGCGGAUUCUCAAGGUGUUUUUGAUGCUUUCUUAACGCCGUUAACCUCGAUGCACUUUUUCGCUCGAAACAAAACGGCAAGAAAAUCAUGCGCGCCCCACGGCCUUACACUUGGAUUGGCCGCGAAAAGGAUAUAUAGAAACGAGAGUGAUGUACUGACGGGUGCGAUCAUACCAGCACUAAUGCACCGGAUCCCAUCAGAACUCCGCAGUUAAGCGUGCUUGGGCGAGAGUAGUACUAGGAUGGGUGACCUCCCGGGAAGUCCUCGUGUUGCACCCCUUUUUAUUUUUUAAUUUUUUUUUAGCCUAAAACGAGUCUAAACUUGAAAACCUCAUAACUUUUGAACCGUGAGGAACUACGUCGCCCAUAGCACCAUUUCGGAAAGCCCCAGAAACCAUAAUGGGCGGUGAAUAGGGGGCGCAAUUUUUCGGGCUCAAAUUCAGCCGUUUUGACCCUCAAACGGGCUGCGGAAAGUUAUGGCACGUAAAAAAGAUCGAAAGCGGAUUCUCAAGGUGUUUUUGAUGCUUUCUUAACGCCGUUAACCUCGAUGCACUUUUUCGCUCGAAACAAAACGGCAAGAAAAUCAUGCGCGCCCCACGGCCUUACACUUGGAUUGGCCGCGAAAAGGAUAUAUAGAAACGAGAGUGAUGUACUGACGGGUGCGAUCAUACCAGCACUAAUGCACCGGAUCCCAUCAGAACUCCGCAGUUAAGCGUGCUUGGGCGAGAGUAGUACUAGGAUGGGUGACCUCCCGGGAAGUCCUCGUGUUGCACCCCUUUUUAUUUUUUAAUUUUUUUUUAGCCUAAAACGAGUCUAAACUUGAAAACCUCAUAACUUUUGAACCGUGAGGAACUACGUCGCCCAUAGCACCAUUUCGGAAAGCCCCAGAAACCAUAAUGGGCGGUGAAUAGGGGGCGCAAUUUUUCGGGCUCAAAUUCAGCCGUUUUGACCCUCAAACGGGCUGCGGAAAGUUAUGGCACGUAAAAAAGAUCGAAAGCGGAUUCUCAAGGUGUUUUUGAUGCUUUCUUAACGCCGUUAACCUCGAUGCACUUUUUCGCUCGAAACAAAACGGCAAGAAAAUCAUGCGCGCCCCACGGCCUUACACUUGGAUUGGCCGCGAAAAGGAUAUAUAGAAACGAGAGUGAUGUACUGACGGGUGCGAUCAUACCAGCACUAAUGCACCGGAUCCCAUCAGAACUCCGCAGUUAAGCGUGCUUGGGCGAGAGUAGUACUAGGAUGGGUGACCUCCCGGGAAGUCCUCGUGUUGCACCCCUUUUUAUUUUUUAAUUUUUUUUUAGCCUAAAACGAGUCUAAACUUGAAAACCUCAUAACUUUUGAACCGUGAGGAACUACGUCGCCCAUAGCACCAUUUCGGAAAGCCCCAGAAACCAUAAUGGGCGGUGAAUAGGGGGCGCAAUUUUUCGGGCUCAAAUUCAGCCGUUUUGACCCUCAAACGGGCUGCGGAAAGUUAUGGCACGUAAAAAAGAUCGAAAGCGGAUUCUCAAGGUGUUUUUGAUGCUUUCUUAACGCCGUUAACCUCGAUGCACUUUUUCGCUCGAAACAAAACGGCAAGAAAAUCAUGCGCGCCCCACGGCCUUACACUUGGAUUGGCCGCGAAAAGGAUAUAUAGAAACGAGAGUGAUGUACUGACGGGUGCGAUCAUACCAGCACUAAUGCACCGGAUCCCAUCAGAACUCCGCAGUUAAGCGUGCUUGGGCGAGAGUAGUACUAGGAUGGGUGACCUCCCGGGAAGUCCUCGUGUUGCACCCCUUUUUAUUUUUUAAUUUUUUUUUAGCCUAAAACGAGUCUAAACUUGAAAACCUCAUAACUUUUGAACCGUGAGGAACUACGUCGCCCAUAGCACCAUUUCGGAAAGCCCCAGAAACCAUAAUGGGCGGUGAAUAGGGGGCGCAAUUUUUCGGGCUCAAAUUCAGCCGUUUUGACCCUCAAACGGGCUGCGGAAAGUUAUGGCACGUAAAAAAGAUCGAAAGCGGAUUCUCAAGGUGUUUUUGAUGCUUUCUUAACGCCGUUAACCUCGAUGCACUUUUUCGCUCGAAACAAAACGGCAAGAAAAUCAUGCGCGCCCCACGGCCUUACACUUGGAUUGGCCGCGAAAAGGAUAUAUAGAAACGAGAGUGAUGUACUGACGGGUGCGAUCAUACCAGCACUAAUGCACCGGAUCCCAUCAGAACUCCGCAGUUAAGCGUGCUUGGGCGAGAGUAGUACUAGGAUGGGUGACCUCCCGGGAAGUCCUCGUGUUGCACCCCUUUUUAUUUUUUAAUUUUUUUUUAGCCUAAAACGAGUCUAAACUUGAAAACCUCAUAACUUUUGAACCGUGAGGAACUACGUCGCCCAUAGCACCAUUUCGGAAAGCCCCAGAAACCAUAAUGGGCGGUGAAUAGGGGGCGCAAUUUUUCGGGCUCAAAUUCAGCCGUUUUGACCCUCAAACGGGCUGCGGAAAGUUAUGGCACGUAAAAAAGAUCGAAAGCGGAUUCUCAAGGUGUUUUUGAUGCUUUCUUAACGCCGUUAACCUCGAUGCACUUUUUCGCUCGAAACAAAACGGCAAGAAAAUCAUGCGCGCCCCACGGCCUUACACUUGGAUUGGCCGCGAAAAGGAUAUAUAGAAACGAGAGUGAUGUACUGACGGGUGCGAUCAUACCAGCACUAAUGCACCGGAUCCCAUCAGAACUCCGCAGUUAAGCGUGCUUGGGCGAGAGUAGUACUAGGAUGGGUGACCUCCCGGGAAGUCCUCGUGUUGCACCCCUUUUUAUUUUUUAAUUUUUUUUUAGCCUAAAACGAGUCUAAACUUGAAAACCUCAUAACUUUUGAACCGUGAGGAACUACGUCGCCCAUAGCACCAUUUCGGAAAGCCCCAGAAACCAUAAUGGGCGGUGAAUAGGGGGCGCAAUUUUUCGGGCUCAAAUUCAGCCGUUUUGACCCUCAAACGGGCUGCGGAAAGUUAUGGCACGUAAAAAAGAUCGAAAGCGGAUUCUCAAGGUGUUUUUGAUGCUUUCUUAACGCCGUUAACCUCGAUGCACUUUUUCGCUCGAAACAAAACGGCAAGAAAAUCAUGCGCGCCCCACGGCCUUACACUUGGAUUGGCCGCGAAAAGGAUAUAUAGAAACGAGAGUGAUGUACUGACGGGUGCGAUCAUACCAGCACUAAUGCACCGGAUCCCAUCAGAACUCCGCAGUUAAGCGUGCUUGGGCGAGAGUAGUACUAGGAUGGGUGACCUCCCGGGAAGUCCUCGUGUUGCACCCCUUUUUAUUUUUUAAUUUUUUUUUAGCCUAAAACGAGUCUAAACUUGAAAACCUCAUAACUUUUGAACCGUGAGGAACUACGUCGCCCAUAGCACCAUUUCGGAAAGCCCCAGAAACCAUAAUGGGCGGUGAAUAGGGGGCGCAAUUUUUCGGGCUCAAAUUCAGCCGUUUUGACCCUCAAACGGGCUGCGGAAAGUUAUGGCACGUAAAAAAGAUCGAAAGCGGAUUCUCAAGGUGUUUUUGAUGCUUUCUUAACGCCGUUAACCUCGAUGCACUUUUUCGCUCGAAACAAAACGGCAAGAAAAUCAUGCGCGCCCCACGGCCUUACACUUGGAUUGGCCGCGAAAAGGAUAUAUAGAAACGAGAGUGAUGUACUGACGGGUGCGAUCAUACCAGCACUAAUGCACCGGAUCCCAUCAGAACUCCGCAGUUAAGCGUGCUUGGGCGAGAGUAGUACUAGGAUGGGUGACCUCCCGGGAAGUCCUCGUGUUGCACCCCUUUUUAUUUUUUAAUUUUUUUUUAGCCUAAAACGAGUCUAAACUUGAAAACCUCAUAACUUUUGAACCGUGAGGAACUACGUCGCCCAUAGCACCAUUUCGGAAAGCCCCAGAAACCAUAAUGGGCGGUGAAUAGGGGGCGCAAUUUUUCGGGCUCAAAUUCAGCCGUUUUGACCCUCAAACGGGCUGCGGAAAGUUAUGGCACGUAAAAAAGAUCGAAAGCGGAUUCUCAAGGUGUUUUUGAUGCUUUCUUAACGCCGUUAACCUCGAUGCACUUUUUCGCUCGAAACAAAACGGCAAGAAAAUCAUGCGCGCCCCACGGCCUUACACUUGGAUUGGCCGCGAAAAGGAUAUAUAGAAACGAGAGUGAUGUACUGACGGGUGCGAUCAUACCAGCACUAAUGCACCGGAUCCCAUCAGAACUCCGCAGUUAAGCGUGCUUGGGCGAGAGUAGUACUAGGAUGGGUGACCUCCCGGGAAGUCCUCGUGUUGCACCCCUUUUUAUUUUUUAAUUUUUUUUUAGCCUAAAACGAGUCUAAACUUGAAAACCUCAUAACUUUUGAACCGUGAGGAACUACGUCGCCCAUAGCACCAUUUCGGAAAGCCCCAGAAACCAUAAUGGGCGGUGAAUAGGGGGCGCAAUUUUUCGGGCUCAAAUUCAGCCGUUUUGACCCUCAAACGGGCUGCGGAAAGUUAUGGCACGUAAAAAAGAUCGAAAGCGGAUUCUCAAGGUGUUUUUGAUGCUUUCUUAACGCCGUUAACCUCGAUGCACUUUUUCGCUCGAAACAAAACGGCAAGAAAAUCAUGCGCGCCCCACGGCCUUACACUUGGAUUGGCCGCGAAAAGGAUAUAUAGAAACGAGAGUGAUGUACUGACGGGUGCGAUCAUACCAGCACUAAUGCACCGGAUCCCAUCAGAACUCCGCAGUUAAGCGUGCUUGGGCGAGAGUAGUACUAGGAUGGGUGACCUCCCGGGAAGUCCUCGUGUUGCACCCCUUUUUAUUUUUUAAUUUUUUUUUAGCCUAAAACGAGUCUAAACUUGAAAACCUCAUAACUUUUGAACCGUGAGGAACUACGUCGCCCAUAGCACCAUUUCGGAAAGCCCCAGAAACCAUAAUGGGCGGUGAAUAGGGGGCGCAAUUUUUCGGGCUCAAAUUCAGCCGUUUUGACCCUCAAACGGGCUGCGGAAAGUUAUGGCACGUAAAAAAGAUCGAAAGCGGAUUCUCAAGGUGUUUUUGAUGCUUUCUUAACGCCGUUAACCUCGAUGCACUUUUUCGCUCGAAACAAAACGGCAAGAAAAUCAUGCGCGCCCCACGGCCUUACACUUGGAUUGGCCGCGAAAAGGAUAUAUAGAAACGAGAGUGAUGUACUGACGGGUGCGAUCAUACCAGCACUAAUGCACCGGAUCCCAUCAGAACUCCGCAGUUAAGCGUGCUUGGGCGAGAGUAGUACUAGGAUGGGUGACCUCCCGGGAAGUCCUCGUGUUGCACCCCUUUUUAUUUUUUAAUUUUUUUUUAGCCUAAAACGAGUCUAAACUUGAAAACCUCAUAACUUUUGAACCGUGAGGAACUACGUCGCCCAUAGCACCAUUUCGGAAAGCCCCAGAAACCAUAAUGGGCGGUGAAUAGGGGGCGCAAUUUUUCGGGCUCAAAUUCAGCCGUUUUGACCCUCAAACGGGCUGCGGAAAGUUAUGGCACGUAAAAAAGAUCGAAAGCGGAUUCUCAAGGUGUUUUUGAUGCUUUCUUAACGCCGUUAACCUCGAUGCACUUUUUCGCUCGAAACAAAACGGCAAGAAAAUCAUGCGCGCCCCACGGCCUUACACUUGGAUUGGCCGCGAAAAGGAUAUAUAGAAACGAGAGUGAUGUACUGACGGGUGCGAUCAUACCAGCACUAAUGCACCGGAUCCCAUCAGAACUCCGCAGUUAAGCGUGCUUGGGCGAGAGUAGUACUAGGAUGGGUGACCUCCCGGGAAGUCCUCGUGUUGCACCCCUUUUUAUUUUUUAAUUUUUUUUAGCCUAAAACGAGUCUAAACUUGAAAACCUCAUAACUUUUGAACCGUGAGGAACUACGUCGCCCAUAGCACCAUUUCGGAAAGCCCCAGAAACCAUAAUGGGCGGUGAAUAGGGGGCGCAAUUUUUCGGGCUCAAAUUCAGCCGUUUUGACCCUCAAACGGGCUGCGGAAAGUUAUGGCACGUAAAAAAGAUCGAAAGCGGAUUCUCAAGGUGUUUUUGAUGCUUUCUUAACGCCGUUAACCUCGAUGCACUUUUUCGCUCGAAACAAAACGGCAAGAAAAUCAUGCGCGCCCCACGGCCUUACACUUGGAUUGGCCGCGAAAAGGAUAUAUAGAAACGAGAGUGAUGUACUGUCGGGUGCGAUCAUACCAGCACUAAUGCACCGGAUCCCAUCAGAACUCCGCAGUUAAGCGUGCUUGGGCGAGAGUAGUACUAGGAUGGGUGACCUCCCGGGAAGUCCUCGUGUUGCACCCCUUUUUAUUUUUUAAUUUUUUUUUAGCCUAAAACGAGUCUAAACUUGAAAACCUCAUAACUUUUGAACCGUGAGGAACUACGUCGCCCAUAGCACCAUUUCGGAAAGCCCCAGAAACCAUAAUGGGCGGUGAAUAGGGGGCGCAAUUUUUCGGGCUCAAAUUCAGCCGUUUUGACCCUCAAACGGGCUGCGGAAAGUUAUGGCACGUAAAAAAGAUCGAAAGCGGAUUCUCAAGGUGUUUUUGAUGCUUUCUUAACGCCGUUAACCUCGAUGCACUUUUUCGCUCGAAACAAAACGGCAAGAAAAUCAUGCGCGCCCCACGGCCUUACACUUGGAUUGGCCGCGAAAAGGAUAUAUAGAAACGAGAGUGAUGUACUGACGGGUGCGAUCAUACCAGCACUAAUGCACCGGAUCCCAUCAGAACUCCGCAGUUAAGCGUGCUUGGGCGAGAGUAGUACUAGGAUGGGUGACCUCCCGGGAAGUCCUCGUGUUGCACCCCUUUUUAUUUUUUAAUUUUUUUUUAGCCUAAAACGAGUCUAAACUUGAAAACCUCAUAACUUUUGAACCGUGAGGAACUACGUCGCCCAUAGCACCAUUUCGGAAAGCCCCAGAAACCAUAAUGGGCGGUGAAUAGGGGGCGCAAUUUUUCGGGCUCAAAUUCAGCCGUUUUGACCCUCAAACGGGCUGCGGAAAGUUAUGGCACGUAAAAAAGAUCGAAAGCGGAUUCUCAAGGUGUUUUUGAUGCUUUCUUAACGCCGUUAACCUCGAUGCACUUUUUCGCUCGAAACAAAACGGCAAGAAAAUCAUGCGCGCCCCACGGCCUUACACUUGGAUUGGCCGCGAAAAGGAUAUAUAGAAACGAGAGUGAUGUACUGACGGGUGCGAUCAUACCAGCACUAAUGCACCGGAUCCCAUCAGAACUCCGCAGUUAAGCGUGCUUGGGCGAGAGUAGUACUAGGAUGGGUGACCUCCCGGGAAGUCCUCGUGUUGCACCCCUUUUUAUUUUUUAAUUUUUUUUUAGCCUAAAACGAGUCUAAACUUGAAAACCUCAUAACUUUUGAACCGUGAGGAACUACGUCGCCCAUAGCACCAUUUCGGAAAGCCCCAGAAACCAUAAUGGGCGGUGAAUAGGGGGCGCAAUUUUUCGGGCUCAAAUUCAGCCGUUUUGACCCUCAAACGGGCUGCGGAAAGUUAUGGCACGUAAAAAAGAUCGAAAGCGGAUUCUCAAGGUGUUUUUGAUGCUUUCUUAACGCCGUUAACCUCGAUGCACUUUUUCGCUCGAAACAAAACGGCAAGAAAAUCAUGCGCGCCCCACGGCCUUACACUUGGAUUGGCCGCGAAAAGGAUAUAUAGAAACGAGAGUGAUGUACUGUCGGGUGCGAUCAUACCAGCACUAAUGCACCGGAUCCCAUCAGAACUCCGCAGUUAAGCGUGCUUGGGCGAGAGUAGUACUAGGAUGGGUGACCUCCCGGGAAGUCCUCGUGUUGCACCCCUUUUUAUUUUUUAAUUUUUUUUUAGCCUAAAACGAGUCUAAACUUGAAAACCUCAUAACUUUUGAACCGUGAGGAACUACGUCGCCCAUAGCACCAUUUCGGAAAGCCCCAGAAACCAUAAUGGGCGGUGAAUAGGGGGCGCAAUUUUUCGGGCUCAAAUUCAGCCGUUUUGACCCUCAAACGGGCUGCGGAAAGUUAUGGCACGUAAAAAAGAUCGAAAGCGGAUUCUCAAGGUGUUUUUGAUGCUUUCUUAACGCCGUUAACCUCGAUGCACUUUUUCGCUCGAAACAAAACGGCAAGAAAAUCAUGCGCGCCCCACGGCCUUACACUUGGAUUGGCCGCGAAAAGGAUAUAUAGAAACGAGAGUGAUGUACUGUCGGGUGCGAUCAUACCAGCACUAAUGCACCGGAUCCCAUCAGAACUCCGCAGUUAAGCGUGCUUGGGCGAGAGUAGUACUAGGAUGGGUGACCUCCCGGGAAGUCCUCGUGUUGCACCCCUUUUUAUUUUUUAAUUUUUUUUUAGCCUAAAACGAGUCUAAACUUGAAAACCUCAUAACUUUUGAACCGUGAGGAACUACGUCGCCCAUAGCACCAUUUCGGAAAGCCCCAGAAACCAUAAUGGGCGGUGAAUAGGGGGCGCAAUUUUUCGGGCUCAAAUUCAGCCGUUUUGACCCUCAAACGGGCUGCGGAAAGUUAUGGCACGUAAAAAAGAUCGAAAGCGGAUUCUCAAGGUGUUUUUGAUGCUUUCUUAACGCCGUUAACCUCGAUGCACUUUUUCGCUCGAAACAAAACGGCAAGAAAAUCAUGCGCGCCCCACGGCCUUACACUUGGAUUGGCCGCGAAAAGGAUAUAUAGAAACGAGAGUGAUGUACUGACGGGUGCGAUCAUACCAGCACUAAUGCACCGGAUCCCAUCAGAACUCCGCAGUUAAGCGUGCUUGGGCGAGAGUAGUACUAGGAUGGGUGACCUCCCGGGAAGUCCUCGUGUUGCACCCCUUUUUAUUUUUUAAUUUUUUUUUAGCCUAAAACGAGUCUAAACUUGAAAACCUCAUAACUUUUGAACCGUGAGGAACUACGUCGCCCAUAGCACCAUUUCGGAAAGCCCCAGAAACCAUAAUGGGCGGUGAAUAGGGGGCGCAAUUUUUCGGGCUCAAAUUCAGCCGUUUUGACCCUCAAACGGGCUGCGGAAAGUUAUGGCACGUAAAAAAGAUCGAAAGCGGAUUCUCAAGGUGUUUUUGAUGCUUUCUUAACGCCGUUAACCUCGAUGCACUUUUUCGCUCGAAACAAAACGGCAAGAAAAUCAUGCGCGCCCCACGGCCUUACACUUGGAUUGGCCGCGAAAAGGAUAUAUAGAAACGAGAGUGAUGUACUGACGGGUGCGAUCAUACCAGCACUAAUGCACCGGAUCCCAUCAGAACUCCGCAGUUAAGCGUGCUUGGGCGAGAGUAGUACUAGGAUGGGUGACCUCCCGGGAAGUCCUCGUGUUGCACCCCUUUUUAUUUUUUAAUUUUUUUUUAGCCUAAAACGAGUCUAAACUUGAAAACCCAUAACUUUUGAACCGUGAGGAACUACGUCGCCCAUAGCACCAUUUCGGAAAGCCCCAGAAACCAUAAUGGGCGGUGAAUAGGGGGCGCAAUUUUUCGGGCUCAAAUUCAGCCGUUUUGACCCUCAAACGGGCUGCGGAAAGUUAUGGCACGUAAAAAAGAUCGAAAGCGGAUUCUCAAGGUGUUUUUGAUGCUUUCUUAACGCCGUUAACCUCGAUGCACUUUUUCGCUCGAAACAAAACGGCAAGAAAAUCAUGCGCGCCCCACGGCCUUACACUUGGAUUGGCCGCGAAAAGGAUAUAUAGAAACGAGAGUGAUGUACUGUCGGGUGCGAUCAUACCAGCACUAAUGCACCGGAUCCCAUCAGAACUCCGCAGUUAAGCGUGCUUGGGCGAGAGUAGUACUAGGAUGGGUGACCUCCCGGGAAGUCCUCGUGUUGCACCCCUUUUUAUUUUUUAAUUUUUUUUUAGCCUAAAACGAGUCUAAACUUGAAAACCUCAUAACUUUUGAACCGUGAGGAACUACGUCGCCCAUAGCACCAUUUCGGAAAGCCCCAGAAACCAUAAUGGGCGGUGAAUAGGGGGCGCAAUUUUUCGGGCUCAAAUUCAGCCGUUUUGACCCUCAAACGGGCUGCGGAAAGUUAUGGCACGUAAAAAAGAUCGAAAGCGGAUUCUCAAGGUGUUUUUGAUGCUUUCUUAACGCCGUUAACCUCGAUGCACUUUUUCGCUCGAAACAAAACGGCAAGAAAAUCAUGCGCGCCCCACGGCCUUACACUUGGAUUGGCCGCGAAAAGGAUAUAUAGAAACGAGAGUGAUGUACUGUCGGGUGCGAUCAUACCAGCACUAAUGCACCGGAUCCCAUCAGAACUCCGCAGUUAAGCGUGCUUGGGCGAGAGUAGUACUAGGAUGGGUGACCUCCCGGGAAGUCCUCGUGUUGCACCCCUUUUUAUUUUUUAAUUUUUUUUUAGCCUAAAACGAGUCUAAACUUGAAAACCUCAUAACUUUUGAACCGUGAGGAACUACGUCGCCCAUAGCACCAUUUCGGAAAGCCCCAGAAACCAUAAUGGGCGGUGAAUAGGGGGCGCAAUUUUUCGGGCUCAAAUUCAGCCGUUUUGACCCUCAAACGGGCUGCGGAAAGUUAUGGCACGUAAAAAAGAUCGAAAGCGGAUUCUCAAGGUGUUUUUGAUGCUUUCUUAACGCCGUUAACCUCGAUGCACUUUUUCGCUCGAAACAAAACGGCAAGAAAAUCAUGCGCGCCCCACGGCCUUACACUUGGAUUGGCCGCGAAAAGGAUAUAUAGAAACGAGAGUGAUGUACUGUCGGGUGCGAUCAUACCAGCACUAAUGCACCGGAUCCCAUCAGAACUCCGCAGUUAAGCGUGCUUGGGCGAGAGUAGUACUAGGAUGGGUGACCUCCCGGGAAGUCCUCGUGUUGCACCCCUUUUUAUUUUUUAAUUUUUUUUUAGCCUAAAACGAGUCUAAACUUGAAAACCUCAUAACUUUUGAACCGUGAGGAACUACGUCGCCCAUAGCACCAUUUCGGAAAGCCCCAGAAACCAUAAUGGGCGGUGAAUAGGGGGCGCAAUUUUUCGGGCUCAAAUUCAGCCGUUUUGACCCUCAAACGGGCUGCGGAAAGUUAUGGCACGUAAAAAAGAUCGAAAGCGGAUUCUCAAGGUGUUUUUGAUGCUUUCUUAACGCCGUUAACCUCGAUGCACUUUUUCGCUCGAAACAAAACGGCAAGAAAAUCAUGCGCGCCCCACGGCCUUACACUUGGAUUGGCCGCGAAAAGGAUAUAUAGAAACGAGAGUGAUGUACUGUCGGGUGCGAUCAUACCAGCACUAAUGCACCGGAUCCCAUCAGAACUCCGCAGUUAAGCGUGCUUGGGCGAGAGUAGUACUAGGAUGGGUGACCUCCCGGGAAGUCCUCGUGUUGCACCCCUUUUUAUUUUUUAAUUUUUUUUUAGCCUAAAACGAGUCUAAACUUGAAAACCUCAUAACUUUUGAACCGUGAGGAACUACGUCGCCCAUAGCACCAUUUCGGAAAGCCCCAGAAACCAUAAUGGGCGGUGAAUAGGGGGCGCAAUUUUUCGGGCUCAAAUUCAGCCGUUUUGACCCUCAAACGGGCUGCGGAAAGUUAUGGCACGUAAAAAAGAUCGAAAGCGGAUUCUCAAGGUGUUUUUGAUGCUUUCUUAACGCCGUUAACCUCGAUGCACUUUUUCGCUCGAAACAAAACGGCAAGAAAAUCAUGCGCGCCCCACGGCCUUACACUUGGAUUGGCCGCGAAAAGGAUAUAUAGAAACGAGAGUGAUGUACUGUCGGGUGCGAUCAUACCAGCACUAAUGCACCGGAUCCCAUCAGAACUCCGCAGUUAAGCGUGCUUGGGCGAGAGUAGUACUAGGAUGGGUGACCUCCCGGGAAGUCCUCGUGUUGCACCCCUUUUUAUUUUUUAAUUUUUUUUUAGCCUAAAACGAGUCUAAACUUGAAAACCUCAUAACUUUUGAACCGUGAGGAACUACGUCGCCCAUAGCACCAUUUCGGAAAGCCCCAGAAACCAUAAUGGGCGGUGAAUAGGGGGCGCAAUUUUUCGGGCUCAAAUUCAGCCGUUUUGACCCUCAAACGGGCUGCGGAAAGUUAUGGCACGUAAAAAAGAUCGAAAGCGGAUUCUCAAGGUGUUUUUGAUGCUUUCUUAACGCCGUUAACCUCGAUGCACUUUUUCGCUCGAAACAAAACGGCAAGAAAAUCAUGCGCGCCCCACGGCCUUACACUUGGAUUGGCCGCGAAAAGGAUAUAUAGAAACGAGAGUGAUGUACUGUCGGGUGCGAUCAUACCAGCACUAAUGCACCGGAUCCCAUCAGAACUCCGCAGUUAAGCGUGCUUGGGCGAGAGUAGUACUAGGAUGGGUGACCUCCCGGGAAGUCCUCGUGUUGCACCCCUUUUUAUUUUUUAAUUUUUUUUUAGCCUAAAACGAGUCUAAACUUGAAAACCUCAUAACUUUUGAACCGUGAGGAACUACGUCGCCCAUAGCACCAUUUCGGAAAGCCCCAGAAACCAUAAUGGGCGGUGAAUAGGGGGCGCAAUUUUUCGGGCUCAAAUUCAGCCGUUUUGACCCUCAAACGGGCUGCGGAAAGUUAUGGCACGUAAAAAAGAUCGAAAGCGGAUUCUCAAGGUGUUUUUGAUGCUUUCUUAACGCCGUUAACCUCGAUGCACUUUUUCGCUCGAAACAAAACGGCAAGAAAAUCAUGCGCGCCCCACGGCCUUACACUUGGAUUGGCCGCGAAAAGGAUAUAUAGAAACGAGAGUGAUGUACUGUCGGGUGCGAUCAUACCAGCACUAAUGCACCGGAUCCCAUCAGAACUCCGCAGUUAAGCGUGCUUGGGCGAGAGUAGUACUAGGAUGGGUGACCUCCCGGGAAGUCCUCGUGUUGCACCCCUUUUUAUUUUUUAAUUUUUUUUUAGCCUAAAACGAGUCUAAACUUGAAAACCUCAUAACUUUUGAACCGUGAGGAACUACGUCGCCCAUAGCACCAUUUCGGAAAGCCCCAGAAACCAUAAUGGGCGGUGAAUAGGGGGCGCAAUUUUUCGGGCUCAAAUUCAGCCGUUUUGACCCUCAAACGGGCUGCGGAAAGUUAUGGCACGUAAAAAAGAUCGAAAGCGGAUUCUCAAGGUGUUUUUGAUGCUUUCUUAACGCCGUUAACCUCGAUGCACUUUUUCGCUCGAAACAAAACGGCAAGAAAAUCAUGCGCGCCCCACGGCCUUACACUUGGAUUGGCCGCGAAAAGGAUAUAUAGAAACGAGAGUGAUGUACUGUCGGGUGCGAUCAUACCAGCACUAAUGCACCGGAUCCCAUCAGAACUCCGCAGUUAAGCGUGCUUGGGCGAGAGUAGUACUAGGAUGGGUGACCUCCCGGGAAGUCCUCGUGUUGCACCCCUUUUUAUUUUUUAAUUUUUUUUUAGCCUAAAACGAGUCUAAACUUGAAAACCCAUAACUUUUGAACCGUGAGGAACUACGUCGCCCAUAGCACCAUUUCGGAAAGCCCCAGAAACCAUAAUGGGCGGUGAAUAGGGGGCGCAAUUUUUCGGGCUCAAAUUCAGCCGUUUUGACCCUCAAACGGGCUGCGGAAAGUUAUGGCACGUAAAAAAGAUCGAAAGCGGAUUCUCAAGGUGUUUUUGAUGCUUUCUUAACGCCGUUAACCUCGAUGCACUUUUUCGCUCGAAACAAAACGGCAAGAAAAUCAUGCGCGCCCCACGGCCUUACACUUGGAUUGGCCGCGAAAAGGAUAUAUAGAAACGAGAGUGAUGUACUGUCGGGUGCGAUCAUACCAGCACUAAUGCACCGGAUCCCAUCAGAACUCCGCAGUUAAGCGUGCUUGGGCGAGAGUAGUACUAGGAUGGGUGACCUCCCGGGAAGUCCUCGUGUUGCACCCCUUUUUAUUUUUUAAUUUUUUUUUAGCCUAAAACGAGUCUAAACUUGAAAACCCAUAACUUUUGAACCGUGAGGAACUACGUCGCCCAUAGCACCAUUUCGGAAAGCCCCAGAAACCAUAAUGGGCGGUGAAUAGGGGGCGCAAUUUUUCGGGCUCAAAUUCAGCCGUUUUGACCCUCAAACGGGCUGCGGAAAGUUAUGGCACGUAAAAAAGAUCGAAAGCGGAUUCUCAAGGUGUUUUUGAUGCUUUCUUAACGCCGUUAACCUCGAUGCACUUUUUCGCUCGAAACAAAACGGCAAGAAAAUCAUGCGCGCCCCACGGCCUUACACUUGGAUUGGCCGCGAAAAGGAUAUAUAGAAACGAGAGUGAUGUACUGUCGGGUGCGAUCAUACCAGCACUAAUGCACCGGAUCCCAUCAGAACUCCGCAGUUAAGCGUGCUUGGGCGAGAGUAGUACUAGGAUGGGUGACCUCCCGGGAAGUCCUCGUGUUGCACCCCUUUUUAUUUUUUAAUUUUUUUUUAGCCUAAAACGAGUCUAAACUUGAAAACCCAUAACUUUUGAACCGUGAGGAACUACGUCGCCCAUAGCACCAUUUCGGAAAGCCCCAGAAACCAUAAUGGGCGGUGAAUAGGGGGCGCAAUUUUUCGGGCUCAAAUUCAGCCGUUUUGACCCUCAAACGGGCUGCGGAAAGUUAUGGCACGUAAAAAAGAUCGAAAGCGGAUUCUCAAGGUGUUUUUGAUGCUUUCUUAACGCCGUUAACCUCGAUGCACUUUUUCGCUCGAAACAAAACGGCAAGAAAAUCAUGCGCGCCCCACGGCCUUACACUUGGAUUGGCCGCGAAAAGGAUAUAUAGAAACGAGAGUGAUGUACUGUCGGGUGCGAUCAUACCAGCACUAAUGCACCGGAUCCCAUCAGAACUCCGCAGUUAAGCGUGCUUGGGCGAGAGUAGUACUAGGAUGGGUGACCUCCCGGGAAGUCCUCGUGUUGCACCCCUUUUUAUUUUUUAAUUUUUUUUUAGCCUAAAACGAGUCUAAACUUGAAAACCCAUAACUUUUGAACCGUGAGGAACUACGUCGCCCAUAGCACCAUUUCGGAAAGCCCCAGAAACCAUAAUGGGCGGUGAAUAGGGGGCGCAAUUUUUCGGGCUCAAAUUCAGCCGUUUUGACCCUCAAACGGGCUGCGGAAAGUUAUGGCACGUAAAAAAGAUCGAAAGCGGAUUCUCAAGGUGUUUUUGAUGCUUUCUUAACGCCGUUAACCUCGAUGCACUUUUUCGCUCGAAACAAAACGGCAAGAAAAUCAUGCGCGCCCCACGGCCUUACACUUGGAUUGGCCGCGAAAAGGAUAUAUAGAAACGAGAGUGAUGUACUGUCGGGUGCGAUCAUACCAGCACUAAUGCACCGGAUCCCAUCAGAACUCCGCAGUUAAGCGUGCUUGGGCGAGAGUAGUACUAGGAUGGGUGACCUCCCGGGAAGUCCUCGUGUUGCACCCCUUUUUAUUUUUUAAUUUUUUUUUAGCCUAAAACGAGUCUAAACUUGAAAACCCAUAACUUUUGAACCGUGAGGAACUACGUCGCCCAUAGCACCAUUUCGGAAAGCCCCAGAAACCAUAAUGGGCGGUGAAUAGGGGGCGCAAUUUUUCGGGCUCAAAUUCAGCCGUUUUGACCCUCAAACGGGCUGCGGAAAGUUAUGGCACGUAAAAAAGAUCGAAAGCGGAUUCUCAAGGUGUUUUUGAUGCUUUCUUAACGCCGUUAACCUCGAUGCACUUUUUCGCUCGAAACAAAACGGCAAGAAAAUCAUGCGCGCCCCACGGCCUUACACUUGGAUUGGCCGCGAAAAGGAUAUAUAGAAACGAGAGUGAUGUACUGUCGGGUGCGAUCAUACCAGCACUAAUGCACCGGAUCCCAUCAGAACUCCGCAGUUAAGCGUGCUUGGGCGAGAGUAGUACUAGGAUGGGUGACCUCCCGGGAAGUCCUCGUGUUGCACCCCUUUUUAUUUUUUAAUUUUUUUUUAGCCUAAAACGAGUCUAAACUUGAAAACCCAUAACUUUUGAACCGUGAGGAACUACGUCGCCCAUAGCACCAUUUCGGAAAGCCCCAGAAACCAUAAUGGGCGGUGAAUAGGGGGCGCAAUUUUUCGGGCUCAAAUUCAGCCGUUUUGACCCUCAAACGGGCUGCGGAAAGUUAUGGCACGUAAAAAAGAUCGAAAGCGGAUUCUCAAGGUGUUUUUGAUGCUUUCUUAACGCCGUUAACCUCGAUGCACUUUUUCGCUCGAAACAAAACGGCAAGAAAAUCAUGCGCGCCCCACGGCCUUACACUUGGAUUGGCCGCGAAAAGGAUAUAUAGAAACGAGAGUGAUGUACUGUCGGGUGCGAUCAUACCAGCACUAAUGCACCGGAUCCCAUCAGAACUCCGCAGUUAAGCGUGCUUGGGCGAGAGUAGUACUAGGAUGGGUGACCUCCCGGGAAGUCCUCGUGUUGCACCCCUUUUUAUUUUUUAAUUUUUUUUUAGCCUAAAACGAGUCUAAACUUGAAAACCCAUAACUUUUGAACCGUGAGGAACUACGUCGCCCAUAGCACCAUUUCGGAAAGCCCCAGAAACCAUAAUGGGCGGUGAAUAGGGGGCGCAAUUUUUCGGGCUCAAAUUCAGCCGUUUUGACCCUCAAACGGGCUGCGGAAAGUUAUGGCACGUAAAAAAGAUCGAAAGCGGAUUCUCAAGGUGUUUUUGAUGCUUUCUUAACGCCGUUAACCUCGAUGCACUUUUUCGCUCGAAACAAAACGGCAAGAAAAUCAUGCGCGCCCCACGGCCUUACACUUGGAUUGGCCGCGAAAAGGAUAUAUAGAAACGAGAGUGAUGUACUGUCGGGUGCGAUCAUACCAGCACUAAUGCACCGGAUCCCAUCAGAACUCCGCAGUUAAGCGUGCUUGGGCGAGAGUAGUACUAGGAUGGGUGACCUCCCGGGAAGUCCUCGUGUUGCACCCCUUUUUAUUUUUUAAUUUUUUUUUAGCCUAAAACGAGUCUAAACUUGAAAACCCAUAACUUUUGAACCGUGAGGAACUACGUCGCCCAUAGCACCAUUUCGGAAAGCCCCAGAAACCAUAAUGGGCGGUGAAUAGGGGGCGCAAUUUUUCGGGCUCAAAUUCAGCCGUUUUGACCCUCAAACGGGCUGCGGAAAGUUAUGGCACGUAAAAAAGAUCGAAAGCGGAUUCUCAAGGUGUUUUUGAUGCUUUCUUAACGCCGUUAACCUCGAUGCACUUUUUCGCUCGAAACAAAACGGCAAGAAAAUCAUGCGCGCCCCACGGCCUUACACUUGGAUUGGCCGCGAAAAGGAUAUAUAGAAACGAGAGUGAUGUACUGUCGGGUGCGAUCAUACCAGCACUAAUGCACCGGAUCCCAUCAGAACUCCGCAGUUAAGCGUGCUUGGGCGAGAGUAGUACUAGGAUGGGUGACCUCCCGGGAAGUCCUCGUGUUGCACCCCUUUUUAUUUUUUAAUUUUUUUUUAGCCUAAAACGAGUCUAAACUUGAAAACCCAUAACUUUUGAACCGUGAGGAACUACGUCGCCCAUAGCACCAUUUCGGAAAGCCCCAGAAACCAUAAUGGGCGGUGAAUAGGGGGCGCAAUUUUUCGGGCUCAAAUUCAGCCGUUUUGACCCUCAAACGGGCUGCGGAAAGUUAUGGCACGUAAAAAAGAUCGAAAGCGGAUUCUCAAGGUGUUUUUGAUGCUUUCUUAACGCCGUUAACCUCGAUGCACUUUUUCGCUCGAAACAAAACGGCAAGAAAAUCAUGCGCGCCCCACGGCCUUACACUUGGAUUGGCCGCGAAAAGGAUAUAUAGAAACGAGAGUGAUGUACUGUCGGGUGCGAUCAUACCAGCACUAAUGCACCGGAUCCCAUCAGAACUCCGCAGUUAAGCGUGCUUGGGCGAGAGUAGUACUAGGAUGGGUGACCUCCCGGGAAGUCCUCGUGUUGCACCCCUUUUUAUUUUUUAAUUUUUUUUUAGCCUAAAACGAGUCUAAACUUGAAAACCCAUAACUUUUGAACCGUGAGGAACUACGUCGCCCAUAGCACCAUUUCGGAAAGCCCCAGAAACCAUAAUGGGCGGUGAAUAGGGGGCGCAAUUUUUCGGGCUCAAAUUCAGCCGUUUUGACCCUCAAACGGGCUGCGGAAAGUUAUGGCACGUAAAAAAGAUCGAAAGCGGAUUCUCAAGGUGUUUUUGAUGCUUUCUUAACGCCGUUAACCUCGAUGCACUUUUUCGCUCGAAACAAAACGGCAAGAAAAUCAUGCGCGCCCCACGGCCUUACACUUGGAUUGGCCGCGAAAAGGAUAUAUAGAAACGAGAGUGAUGUACUGUCGGGUGCGAUCAUACCAGCACUAAUGCACCGGAUCCCAUCAGAACUCCGCAGUUAAGCGUGCUUGGGCGAGAGUAGUACUAGGAUGGGUGACCUCCCGGGAAGUCCUCGUGUUGCACCCCUUUUUAUUUUUUAAUUUUUUUUUAGCCUAAAACGAGUCUAAACUUGAAAACCCAUAACUUUUGAACCGUGAGGAACUACGUCGCCCAUAGCACCAUUUCGGAAAGCCCCAGAAACCAUAAUGGGCGGUGAAUAGGGGGCGCAAUUUUUCGGGCUCAAAUUCAGCCGUUUUGACCCUCAAACGGGCUGCGGAAAGUUAUGGCACGUAAAAAAGAUCGAAAGCGGAUUCUCAAGGUGUUUUUGAUGCUUUCUUAACGCCGUUAACCUCGAUGCACUUUUUCGCUCGAAACAAAACGGCAAGAAAAUCAUGCGCGCCCCACGGCCUUACACUUGGAUUGGCCGCGAAAAGGAUAUAUAGAAACGAGAGUGAUGUACUGUCGGGUGCGAUCAUACCAGCACUAAUGCACCGGAUCCCAUCAGAACUCCGCAGUUAAGCGUGCUUGGGCGAGAGUAGUACUAGGAUGGGUGACCUCCCGGGAAGUCCUCGUGUUGCACCCCUUUUUAUUUUUUAAUUUUUUUUUAGCCUAAAACGAGUCUAAACUUGAAAACCCCAUAACUUUUGAACCGUGAGGAACUACGUCGCCCAUAGCACCAUUUCGGAAAGCCCCAGAAACCAUAAUGGGCGGUGAAUAGGGGGCGCAAUUUUUCGGGCUCAAAUUCAGCCGUUUUGACCCUCAAACGGGCUGCGGAAAGUUAUGGCACGUAAAAAAGAUCGAAAGCGGAUUCUCAAGGUGUUUUUGAUGCUUUCUUAACGCCGUUAACCUCGAUGCACUUUUUCGCUCGAAACAAAACGGCAAGAAAAUCAUGCGCGCCCCACGGCCUUACACUUGGAUUGGCCGCGAAAAGGAUAUAUAGAAACGAGAGUGAUGUACUGUCGGGUGCGAUCAUACCAGCACUAAUGCACCGGAUCCCAUCAGAACUCCGCAGUUAAGCGUGCUUGGGCGAGAGUAGUACUAGGAUGGGUGACCUCCCGGGAAGUCCUCGUGUUGCACCCCUUUUUAUUUUUUAAUUUUUUUUUAGCCUAAAACGAGUCUAAACUUGAAAACCCAUAACUUUUGAACCGUGAGGAACUACGUCGCCCAUAGCACCAUUUCGGAAAGCCCCAGAAACCAUAAUGGGCGGUGAAUAGGGGGCGCAAUUUUUCGGGCUCAAAUUCAGCCGUUUUGACCCUCAAACGGGCUGCGGAAAGUUAUGGCACGUAAAAAAGAUCGAAAGCGGAUUCUCAAGGUGUUUUUGAUGCUUUCUUAACGCCGUUAACCUCGAUGCACUUUUUCGCUCGAAACAAAACGGCAAGAAAAUCAUGCGCGCCCCACGGCCUUACACUUGGAUUGGCCGCGAAAAGGAUAUAUAGAAACGAGAGUGAUGUACUGUCGGGUGCGAUCAUACCAGCACUAAUGCACCGGAUCCCAUCAGAACUCCGCAGUUAAGCGUGCUUGGGCGAGAGUAGUACUAGGAUGGGUGACCUCCCGGGAAGUCCUCGUGUUGCACCCCUUUUUAUUUUUUAAUUUUUUUUUAGCCUAAAACGAGUCUAAACUUGAAAACCCAUAACUUUUGAACCGUGAGGAACUACGUCGCCCAUAGCACCAUUUCGGAAAGCCCCAGAAACCAUAAUGGGCGGUGAAUAGGGGGCGCAAUUUUUCGGGCUCAAAUUCAGCCGUUUUGACCCUCAAACGGGCUGCGGAAAGUUAUGGCACGUAAAAAAGAUCGAAAGCGGAUUCUCAAGGUGUUUUUGAUGCUUUCUUAACGCCGUUAACCUCGAUGCACUUUUUCGCUCGAAACAAAACGGCAAGAAAAUCAUGCGCGCCCCACGGCCUUACACUUGGAUUGGCCGCGAAAAGGAUAUAUAGAAACGAGAGUGAUGUACUGUCGGGUGCGAUCAUACCAGCACUAAUGCACCGGAUCCCAUCAGAACUCCGCAGUUAAGCGUGCUUGGGCGAGAGUAGUACUAGGAUGGGUGACCUCCCGGGAAGUCCUCGUGUUGCACCCCUUUUUAUUUUUUAAUUUUUUUUUAGCCUAAAACGAGUCUAAACUUGAAAACCCCAUAACUUUUGAACCGUGAGGAACUACGUCGCCCAUAGCACCAUUUCGGAAAGCCCCAGAAACCAUAAUGGGCGGUGAAUAGGGGGCGCAAUUUUUCGGGCUCAAAUUCAGCCGUUUUGACCCUCAAACGGGCUGCGGAAAGUUAUGGCACGUAAAAAAGAUCGAAAGCGGAUUCUCAAGGUGUUUUUGAUGCUUUCUUAACGCCGUUAACCUCGAUGCACUUUUUCGCUCGAAACAAAACGGCAAGAAAAUCAUGCGCGCCCCACGGCCUUACACUUGGAUUGGCCGCGAAAAGGAUAUAUAGAAACGAGAGUGAUGUACUGUCGGGUGCGAUCAUACCAGCACUAAUGCACCGGAUCCCAUCAGAACUCCGCAGUUAAGCGUGCUUGGGCGAGAGUAGUACUAGGAUGGGUGACCUCCCGGGAAGUCCUCGUGUUGCACCCCUUUUUAUUUUUUAAUUUUUUUUUAGCCUAAAACGAGUCUAAACUUGAAAACCCCAUAACUUUUGAACCGUGAGGAACUACGUCGCCCAUAGCACCAUUUCGGAAAGCCCCAGAAACCAUAAUGGGCGGUGAAUAGGGGGCGCAAUUUUUCGGGCUCAAAUUCAGCCGUUUUGACCCUCAAACGGGCUGCGGAAAGUUAUGGCACGUAAAAAAGAUCGAAAGCGGAUUCUCAAGGUGUUUUUGAUGCUUUCUUAACGCCGUUAACCUCGAUGCACUUUUUCGCUCGAAACAAAACGGCAAGAAAAUCAUGCGCGCCCCACGGCCUUACACUUGGAUUGGCCGCGAAAAGGAUAUAUAGAAACGAGAGUGAUGUACUGUCGGGUGCGAUCAUACCAGCACUAAUGCACCGGAUCCCAUCAGAACUCCGCAGUUAAGCGUGCUUGGGCGAGAGUAGUACUAGGAUGGGUGACCUCCCGGGAAGUCCUCGUGUUGCACCCCUUUUUAUUUUUUAAUUUUUUUUUAGCCUAAAACGAGUCUAAACUUGAAAACCCAUAACUUUUGAACCGUGAGGAACUACGUCGCCCAUAGCACCAUUUCGGAAAGCCCCAGAAACCAUAAUGGGCGGUGAAUAGGGGGCGCAAUUUUUCGGGCUCAAAUUCAGCCGUUUUGACCCUCAAACGGGCUGCGGAAAGUUAUGGCACGUAAAAAAGAUCGAAAGCGGAUUCUCAAGGUGUUUUUGAUGCUUUCUUAACGCCGUUAACCUCGAUGCACUUUUUCGCUCGAAACAAAACGGCAAGAAAAUCAUGCGCGCCCCACGGCCUUACACUUGGAUUGGCCGCGAAAAGGAUAUAUAGAAACGAGAGUGAUGUACUGUCGGGUGCGAUCAUACCAGCACUAAUGCACCGGAUCCCAUCAGAACUCCGCAGUUAAGCGUGCUUGGGCGAGAGUAGUACUAGGAUGGGUGACCUCCCGGGAAGUCCUCGUGUUGCACCCCUUUUUAUUUUUUAAUUUUUUUUAGCCUAAAACGAGUCUAAACUUGAAAACCCCAUAACUUUUGAACCGUGAGGAACUACGUCGCCCAUAGCACCAUUUCGGAAAGCCCCAGAAACCAUAAUGGGCGGUGAAUAGGGGGCGCAAUUUUUCGGGCUCAAAUUCAGCCGUUUUGACCCUCAAACGGGCUGCGGAAAGUUAUGGCACGUAAAAAAGAUCGAAAGCGGAUUCUCAAGGUGUUUUUGAUGCUUUCUUAACGCCGUUAACCUCGAUGCACUUUUUCGCUCGAAACAAAACGGCAAGAAAAUCAUGCGCGCCCCACGGCCUUACACUUGGAUUGGCCGCGAAAAGGAUAUAUAGAAACGAGAGUGAUGUACUGUCGGGUGCGAUCAUACCAGCACUAAUGCACCGGAUCCCAUCAGAACUCCGCAGUUAAGCGUGCUUGGGCGAGAGUAGUACUAGGAUGGGUGACCUCCCGGGAAGUCCUCGUGUUGCACCCCUUUUUAUUUUUUAAUUUUUUUUAGCCUAAAACGAGUCUAAACUUGAAAACCCCAUAACUUUUGAACCGUGAGGAACUACGUCGCCCAUAGCACCAUUUCGGAAAGCCCCAGAAACCAUAAUGGGCGGUGAAUAGGGGGCGCAAUUUUUCGGGCUCAAAUUCAGCCGUUUUGACCCUCAAACGGGCUGCGGAAAGUUAUGGCACGUAAAAAAGAUCGAAAGCGGAUUCUCAAGGUGUUUUUGAUGCUUUCUUAACGCCGUUAACCUCGAUGCACUUUUUCGCUCGAAACAAAACGGCAAGAAAAUCAUGCGCGCCCCACGGCCUUACACUUGGAUUGGCCGCGAAAAGGAUAUAUAGAAACGAGAGUGAUGUACUGUCGGGUGCGAUCAUACCAGCACUAAUGCACCGGAUCCCAUCAGAACUCCGCAGUUAAGCGUGCUUGGGCGAGAGUAGUACUAGGAUGGGUGACCUCCCGGGAAGUCCUCGUGUUGCACCCCUUUUUAUUUUUUAAUUUUUUUUUAGCCUAAAACGAGUCUAAACUUGAAAACCCAUAACUUUUGAACCGUGAGGAACUACGUCGCCCAUAGCACCAUUUCGGAAAGCCCCAGAAACCAUAAUGGGCGGUGAAUAGGGGGCGCAAUUUUUCGGGCUCAAAUUCAGCCGUUUUGACCCUCAAACGGGCUGCGGAAAGUUAUGGCACGUAAAAAAGAUCGAAAGCGGAUUCUCAAGGUGUUUUUGAUGCUUUCUUAACGCCGUUAACCUCGAUGCACUUUUUCGCUCGAAACAAAACGGCAAGAAAAUCAUGCGCGCCCCACGGCCUUACACUUGGAUUGGCCGCGAAAAGGAUAUAUAGAAACGAGAGUGAUGUACUGUCGGGUGCGAUCAUACCAGCACUAAUGCACCGGAUCCCAUCAGAACUCCGCAGUUAAGCGUGCUUGGGCGAGAGUAGUACUAGGAUGGGUGACCUCCCGGGAAGUCCUCGUGUUGCACCCCUUUUUAUUUUUUAAUUUUUUUUAGCCUAAAACGAGUCUAAACUUGAAAACCCCAUAACUUUUGAACCGUGAGGAACUACGUCGCCCAUAGCACCAUUUCGGAAAGCCCCAGAAACCAUAAUGGGCGGUGAAUAGGGGGCGCAAUUUUUCGGGCUCAAAUUCAGCCGUUUUGACCCUCAAACGGGCUGCGGAAAGUUAUGGCACGUAAAAAAGAUCGAAAGCGGAUUCUCAAGGUGUUUUUGAUGCUUUCUUAACGCCGUUAACCUCGAUGCACUUUUUCGCUCGAAACAAAACGGCAAGAAAAUCAUGCGCGCCCCACGGCCUUACACUUGGAUUGGCCGCGAAAAGGAUAUAUAGAAACGAGAGUGAUGUACUGUCGGGUGCGAUCAUACCAGCACUAAUGCACCGGAUCCCAUCAGAACUCCGCAGUUAAGCGUGCUUGGGCGAGAGUAGUACUAGGAUGGGUGACCUCCCGGGAAGUCCUCGUGUUGCACCCCUUUUUAUUUUUUAAUUUUUUUUAGCCUAAAACGAGUCUAAACUUGAAAACCCCAUAACUUUUGAACCGUGAGGAACUACGUCGCCCAUAGCACCAUUUCGGAAAGCCCCAGAAACCAUAAUGGGCGGUGAAUAGGGGCGCAAUUUUUCGGGCUCAAAUUCAGCCGUUUUGACCCUCAAACGGGCUGCGGAAAGUUAUGGCACGUAAAAAAGAUCGAAAGCGGAUUCUCAAGGUGUUUUUGAUGCUUUCUUAACGCCGUUAACCUCGAUGCACUUUUUCGCUCGAAACAAAACGGCAAGAAAAUCAUGCGCGCCCCACGGCCUUACACUUGGAUUGGCCGCGAAAAGGAUAUAUAGAAACGAGAGUGAUGUACUGUCGGGUGCGAUCAUACCAGCACUAAUGCACCGGAUCCCAUCAGAACUCCGCAGUCGUGCUUGGGCGAGAGUAGUACUAGGAUGGGUGACCUCCCGGGAAGUCCUCGUGUUGCACCCCUUUUUAUUUUUUAUUUUUUUUUAGCCUAAAACGAGUCUAAAC
Molecule: long non-coding RNA, 43721 nt
Filed under: Brassica rapa (field mustard)
Lineage: Eukaryota; Viridiplantae; Streptophyta; Magnoliopsida; Brassicales; Brassicaceae
Source: RNAcentral